RNAcentral lists this ribosomal RNA (537 nucleotides) under Schizochytrium aggregatum. RNAcentral describes it as "partial Bacterial large subunit ribosomal RNA". It matches the Rfam family "Bacterial large subunit ribosomal RNA", at positions 1640 to 2190 of the family's 2925-position model. Lineage: Eukaryota; Bigyra; Thraustochytrida; Thraustochytriidae. The record is from RNAcentral.
ACCCGUACCGCAAACCGACACAGGUAGUCGAGGAGAGAAUCCUAAGGUGAGCGAGAGAACUUUCGUUAAGGAACUCGGCAAAAUGACCCCGUAACUUAGGGAUAAGGGGUGCUGACCUCUGGUCAGCCGCAGUGAAUAGGCCCAGGCGACUGUUUAUCAAAAACACAGGUCUCUGCUAACUCGAAAGAGGAUGUAUAGGGGCUGACACCUGCCCGGUGCUGGAAGGUUAAGUGGACGCGUUAGCCGCAAGGCGAAGCGCUGAAAUGAAGCCCCAGUAAACGGCGGCCGUAACUAUAACGGUCCUAAGGUAGCGAAAUUCCUUGUCGGGUAAGUUCCGACCUGCACGAAUGGCGUAACGACUUCCCUGCUGUCUCAACCACAGGCCCGGUGAAAUUGCAGUACGAGUAAAGAUGCUCGUUACGCGCGGCAGGACGAAAAGACCCCGGGACCUUCACUAUAGCUUGGUAUUGGUGUUCGAUUCGGUUUGUGUAGGAUAGGUGGGAGACUGUGAAGCAUGCCAGUGUGUGUGGAGUCAAC